AACGGCCAUACCAUGCUGAAUAUACCGGUUCUCGUUAGAUCACCGAAGUUAAGCAUCAUUGGGCGCGGUCAGUACUUGGACGGGUGACCACCUGGGAACACCGCGUGCCGUU
RNAcentral lists this ribosomal RNA (112 nucleotides) under Caerostris darwini. The record is from RNAcentral. Lineage: Eukaryota; Metazoa; Arthropoda; Arachnida; Araneae; Araneidae.